RNAcentral lists this ribosomal RNA (680 nucleotides) under uncultured Pseudomonadota bacterium. Its description in RNAcentral is "bacterial SSU rRNA". It matches the Rfam family "Bacterial small subunit ribosomal RNA", at positions 35 to 760 of the family's 1533-position model. The record is from RNAcentral. Lineage: Bacteria; Pseudomonadati; Pseudomonadota.
GCUGGCGGCACGCCUAACACAUGCAAGUCGAACGAAGUAGCAAUACUUAGUGGCAGACGGGUGAGUAACAUGUAGGUAUCUGCCCUUUGGCCUGGAAUAACACGAGGAAACUUGUGCUAAUACCGGAUAAGUCUUUACGGAGAAAGCUUUAUGCACCAUUGGAUGAGCCUGCACUUGAUUAGUUUGUUGGUGGGGUAAUGGCCUACCAAGACUGUGAUCAAUAGCUGAUUUGAGAGGAUGAUCAGCCACAUUGGGACUGAGACACGGCCCAAACUCCUACGGGAGGCAGCAGUGGGGAAUCUUGCACAAUGGAGGAAACUCUGAUGCAGCGAUGCCGCGUGAGUGAAGAAGGCCUUUGGGUUGUAAAGCUCUUUCGUCGGGGAAGAAAAUGACUGUACCCGAAUAAGAAGGUCCGGCUAACUUCGUGCCAGCAGCCGCGGUAAUACGAAGGGACCUAGCGUAGUUCGGAAUUACUGGGCUUAAAGAGUUCGUAGGUGGUUGAAAAAGUUAGUGGUGAAAUCCCAGAGCUUAACUCUGGAACUGCCAUUAAAACUUUUCAGCUAGAGUAUGAUAGAGGAAAGCAGAAUUUCUAGUGUAGAGGUGAAAUUCGUAGAUAUUAGAAAGAAUACCAAUUGCGAAGGCAGCUUUCUGGAUCAUUACUGACACUGAGGAACCAAAGC